CUGCUGUGUAGGCCCGGGCUGUAGCUGUGGAGAGGCCUGUGGCGGCGGCAGCGGUGGAGCUGCGUGAGGAGCGGGAAGACCGUGACCACCAAGCUCAGUGCGCAAGGCCGCCAACCCGGCGCGGGUGGGGUGAGCACGGGAGACCCGCGCCACGCAGGACUCGGGCAGUCGGUGUGGGACCGGCCGUACCCGCCAAAAUUUCCCCACUGAGGGACCGGGUGAGGCCGCCUCCCUCCGGUGGGCGGGGGUGUGGUGGGGUGGCUUCCGAGCAGAGCUGUGGGUUCCUGCCAUUCGGCCCUCUCGUGGUGGGCGGAGCCUGCGGAGCAGAGCUGUAGGUUCCCGCCAUUCUGCCCUCGCGUGGUGGGGUGGCUGCAGAGCCGAGCUGUCGGUUCCCGCCAUUCUGCCCGCGCGUGGUGGGCGGGGCCUGAGGAGCUGAGCUGUGGGUUCCCGCCAUUCCGUCCUCGCGUGGUGGGCGGGGCCCGCGCUGUCCUCUGGGAGCGGUGCUGGCGCGAGGGUGAAGCGGCUCCACAGACCAGCGCGGGUCGGGCGGGAGGCCCGUGGCCCCGGAGCCGCCGCAGCCGCAGCUUCAAGAUUCCCCUGCAGGACCUGGAGCAGGAGGAGCCCUCCAUGAUAAUGAGCAUCUGCUCAGGAAUCUGUUACCUUUGGGGCCCUGAAGAGGCCACAGCUGCUGCAAGGGUAAGAGGAGUGGGUCCUGUGUGGUGAGUGUCACUGGGAGGAGUGUGGCAGAGUGGGCAGGAUGGCGUUGUCACCUGACUGAGAUAAUUUCUGUUAAUGAAUUUGGCUCCAACCUCAAAUUUCUACCUCCUGAACUUCUUAAGUUUACCUUCUGUUUUACCAUCUUUUGGUUGUAGGAAAUGUACAGGUGCCUGGCUGUGGGUUGUGUUGCUUAGGUGUUCAGGUGCCUGUGCACCAUUCCCUUCCUUUCCUCUUGAGUUGGUGUGCACAAACAAGAAUGAAUGAGCUUGUUUGAUCCUGUCUUACCUCUUAGAGGUAAUUUUAAGUGUUUCUUGUUUAUUUUUAUGCUGUUUAUGCAAUUAUCAUAAAAAUAAAAAUUCUUAUCAC
Molecule: long non-coding RNA, 1083 nt
Filed under: Chinchilla lanigera (long-tailed chinchilla)
Lineage: Eukaryota; Metazoa; Chordata; Mammalia; Rodentia; Chinchillidae
Description: lncRNA (ENSCLAG00000024021.1)
Source: RNAcentral